RNAcentral lists this ribosomal RNA (251 nucleotides) under uncultured prokaryote. RNAcentral's name for it is "partial 16S rRNA". It matches the Rfam family "Bacterial small subunit ribosomal RNA", at positions 525 to 775 of the family's 1533-position model. The record is from RNAcentral.
ACGUAUGGGGCAAGAGUUGUUCGGAAUUAUUGGGCGUAGAGGGCGUCUAGGCGGGGGAUUAAGUUAGAUGAAAAAGCUGUGGGCUCAACCCAUAAACUACGUCUAAGACUGGUUCUAUUGAGUCAGGGAGAGGAGAGCGGAAUUCCAGGUGUCGCGGUGCAAUGCGUAGAUAUCUGGAAGACCACCAGUGGCGAAGGCGGCUCUCUGGACUAGGACUGCCGCCUAAGCGCGAAUGCGUGGGGAGCGAACAU